Amblyraja radiata (thorny skate) is the source of this 5400-nucleotide RNA transcript. It is a transcript of the gene named ArfGAP with coiled-coil, ankyrin repeat and PH domains 3a, with no coding region annotated. Lineage: Eukaryota; Metazoa; Chordata; Chondrichthyes; Rajiformes; Rajidae. The record is from RefSeq and is a predicted model, not a curated record. The transcript has 25 exons.
GGUCGGGCUGGCGGAUCCUCGUCUGCUUUAGGAAGAGACAGACAGCGAGGGAGAGAAUGGCUCUGCAAGCCCGCGCCUCAAACCUUGCUCUUCUUACCAUUUUGGACUAAAUCAAAACCCGUUGCUCACGUUUACGUUGACGAACCGGGCGAUGAACAGGCUAAAUGAAGGGUGAAUGCCAAACUAGAGAGAACAAUACAGUCAAAAUGACAGUGGAUUUUGAAGAGUGUGUCAAAGACUCCCCUCGUUUCAGGGCGACCAUCGAGGAGGUGGAGACUGACGUGGUGGAGAUCGAGGCCAAGCUGGACAAGCUGGUGAAGCUGUGCAGUGGGAUGAUCGAUGCUGGGAGGUCGUACAACACCGCCAACAAAUACUUUGUCAAUGGCAUCCGAGACCUGUCGCAACAGUGCAGGAAAGACGAAAUGGUAUCGGAGUGCCUCCAGAAGUUUGGAGAGAGCUUGCAGGAAAUGAUUAACUACCACAUGAUUCUCUGCGACCAAGCCCAGCGGUCUGUCAGGAUGCAGCUGCACAACUUUGUGAAAGAGGAUGUUCGGAAGUUCAAGGAGACCAAGAAGCAUUUUGAUAAAGUGCGUGAGGACAUGGACCUGGCGUUGAUCAAGAACGCCCAGGCCACCCGCAACAAGGCUCACGAGGUGGAGGAGGCGACAGGAACGCUCAUCAUGACCCGCAAAUGCUUCAGGCACCUGGCCCUCGACUACGUCCUCCAGAUUAAUGUCCUUCAAGCAAAGAAGAAAUUUGAAAUAUUAGAUGCGAUGCUGUCGUUCAUGCACGCCCAGUACACCUUCUUCCAGCAAGGCUACGACCUGCUUAAAGAGUUGGAUCCUUACAUGAAAAAGCUGGCCACAGAGCUGGAUCAACUUGUGAUCGACUCGGCUGUGGAGAAAAGGGAAAUGGAGCAUAAGCACGCACUGAUCCAACAGCGGACGCUGUUACAGGACUUCUCCUAUGAUGAUUCCAAAGUUGAAUUCAACAUUGAUGCCCCCAACGGCGUGGUGAUGGAAGGUUACUUGUUCAAGAGAGCCAGCAAUGCAUUCAAGAGCUGGAACAGGAGAUGGUUUUCUAUACAAAACAGUCAGCUGGUGUAUCAGAAGAAGAUGAAGGACGCACUAACGGUCGUGGUGGACGAUUUGCGGCUUUGUUCCGUCAAGCCCUGCGAGGACAUCGAAAGGCGAUUCUGCUUCGAGGUUGUUUCUCCCAAUAAGAGCUGCAUGUUGCAGGCAGACUCGGAGAAGUUGCGACUGGGCUGGAUCCAGGCAGUGCAGGCCAGCAUUGCCACGGCCUACAGGGAAAGUCCGGACAACAACUACAUCAAUAGACUGGACCGCACAGCGUCGCCAUCCACCAGCAGCAUCGACUCUGCCAGCGAGGCGCGGGACCGUAACGUGAAGGGCGAGAGCAUCCUGCAGCGGGUGCAGGGCAUCGCGGGUAACGAGCAUUGCUGCGACUGCUGCCAGGCCGACCCGCGCUGGGCCAGCAUUAACCUCGGCAUCACCCUCUGCAUCGAGUGCUCCGGGAUCCACCGGAGUCUUGGCGUUCAGUGUUCCAAGGUGCGAUCUCUCACGCUGGACUCCUGGGAGCCUGAGCUGCUGAAGCUGAUGUGCGAGCUCGGAAACAACACUAUGAAUCAUAUUUACGAGGGCAGGUGUGAGGAGCACGGACUGAAGAAGCCACAGCCCAACAGCACGAGGCAGCAGAAGGAAGCUUGGAUCAAAGCCAAAUACGUGGAGAAGAAGUUCCUGAAGAAGCUGCCGACGGCCGAGGCGCUGACAGACGCCGAGCGCAAACCGCGGCGAUGGAGCGUCAAGAAGUGCCGGCGGCACAACAGCUCCACCAAAGCCCCGGUGGCCCGGCGACGGUAUCGGCACGAUCCCGGCAACGUGUCUCCAGCAACGUUUGCCGCAGCCGCCGCACUGGAGAGAAAGUUCCGCAGAGAUUCGCUGUUCUGCCCCGACGAGAUGGACUCGCUGUUUUCCUACUUCGACACGACGGCAGGACCUCGCAGCCCCGCGGGUCUGAGCAGCGACAGUGGGCUGGGCGGCAGCACUGACGGCAGCACCGACAUCCUGGUGUUCGGCACGGUGGUGGACCGCGUCACAGAGGAAGUGGGCGAGGUGUCGGAGGAGUCGAGCGGCGAGGUGGAGAUAGAGCCGGAAGCUUCGGACUCGGAGGACGUGCGCGAGCUGCACCCCGGGAUGCUGGUGUACAAGGCAGCUCAGGCCCGCAACCUGGCCGUCAUGGCCCAGGCCCUGGCCCACGGGGCCAACGUCAACUGGGUCAACGGCGAGGACGAGAACAAGACGCCGCUGAUCCAGGCUGUCAUCGGGGGAUCGCUCGUCACCUGUGAGUUUCUGCUGCAGAACGGGGCCGAUGUGAAUCAGAAGGACAUCCGAGAACGUGGCCCAAUUCACCACGCUACCUACCUGGGCCACACUGGCCAGGUGUGCCUCUUCCUCAAGCGGGGCGCCAACCAGAACGCGGUGGACGAUGACGGGCAGGAUCCGCUCAGCAUCGCGGUGCAGGCGGCCAACGCUGACAUCGUCACUCUGCUACGACUGGCAAGGAUGAAUGAGGAGAUGCGUGAGACUGAAGGCCCGUUUGGACAGCCAGGUCAAUAUCCCAGCAGCAGUCCCACCGAGCUCCAGUACAGGAAGUGCAUUCAGGAGUUUAUCAGUCUUAAGAUAGAUGAGUGUUAGGAGGGGCCUCCCCCAGCGGGCGAUGUCACUGGGCCUUCCUCGUGGGUGGUGUCUGGGCCAGUGGGCCAUUUGUCCCAUGACUGCGUUCACUGGCGUUGGUGGUGAAAGAGGACUAGGUACAGUGCUCGCCUUUGGUGUUGUGUGAACAGAUAACUAGCCUUCGCCAGUUUCCAGUUUUACUGUGCGAGCUCUGUAAAUUUAGUAACUUAUGAAAGAGUUAGUGACAGGGCAUCCCUUAUCUCUGCUGGUGGGCCACUUCACCUGCACAGACCUGACCACAUCUGAAGAAGGGUUUCGGCCCGAAACGUCACCCAUUUCCUUCGCUCCAUAGAUGCUGCUGCACCCGUUGAGUUUCUCCAGCACUUUUGUCUACCUUUGAUUUUCCAGCAUCUGCAGUUCCUUCUUAAAAACGGAGAAUUCACAGUCUCAAAACAGAAAAAAAUAAUACGGUUAGAAACUAAGAUGGACACACAUAGUUGGAGUAACUCAGCGGGUUAGGCAGUGGGUUUUGCUGCCCGACCCGCUGAGUUAUUCCAGCUCGAUGCGUCUAUCUUCGGUUUAAACUGGAACCAGUUCCUUCCUACAGACAGGUCAGGAAUGGAGAUUUCAAUUUGAAGACACAAGGUACUGCAGAUGCCGGUUUACACAAAAAAAGUGCUGGAGUAACCCACAAAAAAGUAAAGUGCUGGAGUAACUCAGCGGGUCAGGCAGCAUCUCUGGAGGACACAGAUAGGUGACGUUUCAGGUCGGGACCCCAAUGUCUAUCAGAGAUCUGCUGAGUUGUUUUUAUUGUAAACAAGCAUCUGACAUUCCUUGCGCCUCCAAAAGAAAGGCAGAAUCAACAGGCUUACUUGUUUCAAAAGGAAGGCUGGGUUCACAAGUCACCAAAUGUAAAGUAAAAAAACCUUCUCCGCUUUCACCAGCAACAUCACGUGAUGCCAGUGUGCAAGCCUGAUACAUGCGGCACUGCUGGGUUGAGAUGAGAAACAUGCACUCGGACUUGGCUGCAUUGGUGCUGCAGAAUCCGUUACCUUGGUCACGGGGGUAAAAUGCAUUCUGGCACAUUAGGAAGAUUUAUUAGUACAAGUGAGCUCAGUGAAACAUCCUGCACUGGGCUCACUUUAAUAACAUCAACAGUUUAUGAAUAGCCAUUUUUAACUGCCCGUUGAAUAACUUGAAAUAGGAACUAAAUAUGACUUUAUAUGAUAUUCAGCUUUUCUAUGACGCAUCUGUGGAAAUGCAGAGCGAGGAGGUGUGGAGCCAUAUGAACCUAGCUCAUUCAAACAUUUCUUUACUGAGAGGCUGCAUCCAGGAACCAGGGGCUGAGUCUUCGAGAUCCAGCUCGAGGGUUUUCUGUAACUCAGUUCCCUGGUGACACUGUGCGAAUGGUGAUUUAUCAAUGACAGACCAGCUCACCUUGUCAAAGAAUAGGACUGAUUCUGGCUUGGUGCCUGUACAGUAGGUGUUGUGUGUGUGUAGAUGAUGUGUUCAUGCUUGAUUUCCUUUAAUUGGCUGGUUACAAGUCUUUCUCAAAUCAUCAAAAAAAAAUCACACUUUUUUUGGGGGGGGGGAGGGUUGGGGGCAAGUUCUGUAAAUAUUUAAAAAAGGAGUUUUUGUUCUGGUUGGGACAGUUUAUUUAAAAUGAAAUAAGAGUAUGAAUUAGAUUAUAUGUAUAAAGCAACUUGGUGCACUUUUCCUACCUUACAGUAUUGUUUUCUGUUACACUUUGUGAAUUCUCUCAACAGUGGAAGUGUUGUUUUAAGUGUUUAUUUAUAUGAAUUGCCCGGAGGAAUUGUGCAAUGAAAAAAGAAACCAAUGCAGGUAAACUGUGUUUAUUGUUGGAGAUGUGUUUUUUUCUUUUGUAACACCAUAGAGUGUAUUUUUUUAAAUUGACACAUUUUGUUUUGUAUUGGCCCAGUAGACAUAAUGUCUGAGCUUUUAGUCAGCGUGUUUUUAUUCCGUUGUUUGGCAUAGAGCACACGGCAAGUUCUUAAUAGAUCAGUUUUAUUACAUUUUUUUUUAAAGCUGCUUGAUUUUUCCGCUAAGCCUCAGAUUACAGGAGAGCCAGGUACAAUUUUAAAAAGCAAAAAUAAAUAAAUCUUCAAUUGAGAUUCUGUCUUGUACUUUACAUGGAACAGUUUUUAAACUGGUUUGUCAUAUCUCAAAACCAACUCAUUGUCUCGUAGUCUAAUGCGAGAGGCAAGGUGCAAGGCUGGUAAAUAAAGUGUGCCUUUGGGCAAAAAAAGGGAACUAUAAAACACUAAUGUUUAAACGUGUCUGAAGAAGGGUCUCGACCCGAAACGUCACCCAUUCCUUCUCUCCAGAAAUGCUGCCUGUCCCGCUGAGUUACUCCAGCAUUUUGUGUAUACUAAUGUGUAAACGCCCCAUCCCUUUCCAGCACUCAGUGGGUUUGCCAUUCUGUGUCUAGUGUCAGGGUGAGAAUAGAACAGAGCAGGAACAGGUUCCUCGGGCUAUGCAGAAUAUCAUCCCAUGCAAGACCAAUCUCCUCUGCCUCCAUGUCAUAUUGCUUAAUUCCUGGCAUAUCCAUGUCCCAACCAAAAGCCACUAUCAUAACUACCUCCACCACCAGUCCUGGUAGUGUGUUCUAGGCACCCAACACCCUCAAGAGAAACUUGCCCUGAACAUUCUUUAAACUUAGUCCCCUUCACCCCAAUGCCAUGCCCUC